AUUGAACGCAGGCGGCAGGCCUAACAGAUGCAAGUCGAGCGAGCGGCGGACGGGUGAGUGAUGUCUGGGAAACUGCCUGCGGGAGGGGGAUAACUACUGGAAACGGUAGCUCAUAAAGCAGACCAUCAAAUGUGCCCCGAUUGGCUUAGCUUGUAGGUGGGUUAACGCAUCACCUAGGCGACGGUCCCUAGCUGGUCUGAGAGGCUGACCAGCCACACGGGAACGGAGACACGGUCCAGACUCCUACGGGAGGCAGCAGUGGUGAUUAUUGCACAAUGGGCGCAAGCCUGAUGCAGCCAUGCCGCGUGUGUGAAGAGGGCCUUCGGGUUGUAAAGCACUUUCAGCGGGGAGGCGUUACCCGCAGAAGAAGCACCGGCUAACUCCGUGCCAGCCGCCGCGGUAAUUC
Molecule: ribosomal RNA, 406 nt
Filed under: uncultured bacterium
Lineage: Bacteria
Description: partial 16S ribosomal RNA
Rfam family: Bacterial small subunit ribosomal RNA
Source: RNAcentral